Long non-coding RNA from Carya illinoinensis, 781 nucleotides. RefSeq lists it as uncharacterized. The transcript is spliced from 2 exons. NCBI's taxonomy places the organism in Eukaryota, Viridiplantae, Streptophyta, Magnoliopsida, Fagales, Juglandaceae. The record is from RefSeq and is a predicted model, not a curated record.
CUUUUCUGUAAAUAAAUAAUAAAAAAAAAUUGUUUAAAAUUCGCGCAGUUGAAGCUUGUCACUAACCUUGGUCGCAAAAAUGCCUCGGGCUUGCUUCAAUGUGGGCUUUUAACCAAUUUUUUUUUUUUAUUUCUUUUUUUGCCCUUCUCCGGUGGAACAAAAAGGGAACACCUUGCAAUAUUGUACUAUCGAGAUUCGAUCCAAUCCAAUGCCGCUGAAGUCUCUGUAGAAAGUCGAGAUCGAACUUGGAAGAAAGAGCGAGCAAUAGCAAUGGCGUUUAUGAGGGGCGAGCCACUGGUGACGAAGCUGGCGGUUUUGGCCAAGUACGUGGUUCUUCCGGGAGCCAUGGUCGCUGCUCUCAUCUACUCUCCUCCAGAUUACGCGUCCUCCUCUAAGUCCGACAAGUCCCAGAAAUAAAUCAGUCCCCCUUUUCUAUUUCACCUAUCGGGUCAUCUUCACUUGGCAUGCAUGCUUGUAAAGGUCCUCUCUUAGACGAAUGGGGUAUGUAAUAAUUUCAUGAUAGAAUAAUUGUUGAGUUUUAGAAUGUAGUUAUUUGGAGUGAUGAGCGCAUCUAGCUUUUGUUUGAAGAACUUUAAGAAGUAUCUUUGUUCUUUCCUUUGCUUUGCCCACAACUAAGCAUUAUCCAAUCAGUACAAGUAUAGCCAGGUUCCAUUUUAACAUUGUGGAAUAUAUGUAUAAUUAUAUAAGAUGGCCUGAUUUUAACUUUGCAGAAUGUAUGAGAACUUAAAUAUAAUAAUAGUUUUGAUUGGUUAACAUGGUA